Molecule: ribosomal RNA, 279 nt
Filed under: uncultured bacterium
Lineage: Bacteria
Description: partial 16S ribosomal RNA
Rfam family: Bacterial small subunit ribosomal RNA
Source: RNAcentral
UGCCAGCCGCCGCGGUAAUACGGAGGGAGCGAGCGUUGUUCGGAAUUAUUGGGCGUAAAGCGCGUGUAGGCGGUUCGUUAAGUUAGACGUGAAAGCCCCGGGCUUAACCUGGGAACAGCGUUUAAUACUGUAUGACUAGAGACCGAGAGAGGAAAGCGGAAUUCCUAGUGUAGAGGUGAAAUUCGUAGAUAUUAGGAGGAACACCAGAGGCGAAGGCGGCUUUCUGGCUCGGAUCUGACGCUGAGGCGCGAAAGCGUGGGUAGCAAACAGGAUUAGAUA